ACGAACGCUGGCGGCGUGCUUAACACAUGCAAGUCGAACGGUGAAGGUGGGAGCUUGCUCCUGCUGGAUCAGUGGCGAACGGGUGAGUAACACGUGAGUAACCUGCCCUUGACUCUGGGAUAAGCGUUGGAAACGACGUCUAAUACCGGAUACGAGCUUCAGCCGCAUGGCUAGGAGUUGGAAAGAAUUUCGGUCAAGGAUGGACUCGCGGCCUAUCAGCUUGUUGGUGAGGUAAUGGCUCACCAAGGCGACGACGGGUAGCCGGCCUGAGAGGGUGACCGGCCACACUGGGACUGAGACACGGCCCAGACUCCUACGGGAGGCAGCAGUGGGGAAUAUUGCACAAUGGGCGCAAGCCUGAUGCAGCAACGCCGCGUGAGGGACGACGGCCUUCGGGUUGUAAACCUCUUUUAGCAGGGAAGAAGCGAAAGUGACGGUACCUGCAGAAAAAGCACCGGCUAACUACGU
This 468-nucleotide ribosomal RNA is filed under the name uncultured bacterium. RNAcentral describes it as "bacterial SSU rRNA". It matches the Rfam family "Bacterial small subunit ribosomal RNA", at positions 29 to 506 of the family's 1533-position model. The record is from RNAcentral.